UCUUUCUCUUACAUAGUGCCAGGGGCGUAGUGCAGGCCACAUCUGGACUUCCAUAUCAUAUCAUCAUGUCAUAACAUAGGAGGGCUAAUGGAUCAUUCAACAUUCAUCCACAUCAACAACAUUUUAUGCAAUGCAACAUAUUCGUGAUUUCUAAUGCAAGCAACCUAAGAUAUCACAUGGCAUCCGUGAUGCAUGAACAUGCUCAAAACUGAUUUAUUUAUUUAAAAGCAUAAGAGUCAUU
Molecule: long non-coding RNA, 241 nt
Filed under: Manihot esculenta (cassava)
Lineage: Eukaryota; Viridiplantae; Streptophyta; Magnoliopsida; Malpighiales; Euphorbiaceae
Description: long non-coding RNA (MESC_LNC001533)
Source: RNAcentral